GGAGAAUCUCCACUGAUCUCAUCUGCGUCUCCUGUAACUGGCUCUUCUCUGAUCAUCAGUGUGUCUGUGCUUCUGCUUCUGAUCUUCAGUGUGAUUCUGUUGGUGAUCGUCUCUCUCUGGAGGAGGCGUCAGUCUCACGACGCUCAUCCCUCAUCCAGAAGAUCUCACAGGACUCCAGCAAACACUGACGCGGCUUCUAAUUAUCAUUGUGAUUACGAGGAGACUGAAGAC
Sinocyclocheilus grahami is the source of this 231-nucleotide long non-coding RNA. RefSeq lists it as uncharacterized. NCBI's taxonomy places the organism in Eukaryota, Metazoa, Chordata, Actinopteri, Cypriniformes, Cyprinidae. The transcript has 4 exons. The record is from RefSeq and is a predicted model, not a curated record.